Molecule: ribosomal RNA, 457 nt
Filed under: uncultured Alphaproteobacteria bacterium
Lineage: Bacteria; Pseudomonadati; Pseudomonadota; Alphaproteobacteria
Description: bacterial SSU rRNA
Rfam family: Bacterial small subunit ribosomal RNA
Source: RNAcentral
UGGGAAGAUAAUGACGGUACCAGGUAAAGAAGCCCCGGCUAACUCCGUGCCAGCAGCCGCGGUAAUACGGAGGGGGCUAGCGUUGUUCGGAAUUACUGGGCGUAAAGCGCGCGUAGGCGGACUGGAAAGUUGGGGGUGAAAUCCCGGGGCUCAACCCCGGAACUGCCUCCAAAACUGUCAGUCUGGAGUUCGAGAGAGGUGAGUGGAAUUCCGAGUGUAGAGGUGAAAUUCGUAGAUAUUCGGAGGAACACCAGUGGCGAAGGCGGCUCACUGGCUCGAUACUGACGCUGAGGUGCGAAAGUGUGGGGAGCAAACAGGAUUAGAUACCCUGGUAGUCCACACCGUAAACGAUGAAUGCCAGACGUCGGGCAGCAUGCUGUUCGGUGUCACACCUAACGGAUUAAGCAUUCCGCCUGGGGAGUACGGCCGCAAGGUUAAAACUCAAAGGAAUUGACGG